Molecule: ribosomal RNA, 472 nt
Filed under: uncultured bacterium
Lineage: Bacteria
Description: bacterial SSU rRNA
Rfam family: Bacterial small subunit ribosomal RNA
Source: RNAcentral
UGGGGAAUUUUGGACAAUGGGGGCAACCCUGAUCCAGCCAUGCCGCGUGAGUGAAGAAGGCCUUCGGGUUGUAAAGCUCUUUCGGCGGGGACGAAACGGUCCGUGACAACACCACGGACUAAUGACAGUACUCGCAGAAGAAGCACCGGCUAACUACGUGCCAGCAGCCGCGGUAAUACGUAGGGUGCAGGCGUUAAUCGGAAUUACUGGGCGUAAAGCGUGCGCAGGUGGCUCCUUAAGUCAGAUGUGAAAUCCCCGGGCUUAACCUGGGAACUGCGUUUGAAACUGAGGAGCUAGAGUGUGGAAGAGGGGGGUGGAAUUCCAGGUGUAGCAGUGAAAUGCGUAGAGAUCUGGAGGAACACCGAUGGCGAAGGCAGCCCCCUGGGCUAACACUGACACUCAUGCACGAAAGCGUGGGGAGCAAACAGGAUUAGAUACCCACGUAGUCCCUGAGCGGGCUGGCAAGGCGCAU